GACGAACGCUGGCGGCGUGCUUAACACAUGCAAGUCGAACGGAAAGGCCCUGCUUUUGUGGGGUGCUCGAGUGGCGAACGGGUGAGUAACACGUGAGUAACCUGCCUUUGACUUUGGGAUAACUUCAGGAAACUGGGGCUAAUACCGGAUAGGAGCUCCUGCUGCAUGGUGGGGGUUGGAAAGUUUCGGCGGUUGGGGAUGGACUCGCGGCUUAUCAGCUUGUUGGUGGGGUAGUGGCUUACCAAGGCUUUGACGGGUAGCCGGCCUGAGAGGGUGACCGGACACAUUGGGACUGAGAUACGGCCCAGACUCCUACGGGAGGCAGCAGUGGGGAAUAUUGCACAAUGGGCGGAAGCCUGAUGCAGCAACGCCGCGUGCGGGAUGACGGCCUUCGGGUUGUAAACCGCUUUCGCCUGUGACGAAGCGUGAGUGACGGUAAUGGGUAAAGAAGCACCGGCUAACUACGUG
This 468-nucleotide ribosomal RNA is filed under the name uncultured bacterium. RNAcentral describes it as "partial 16S ribosomal RNA". It matches the Rfam family "Bacterial small subunit ribosomal RNA", at positions 28 to 507 of the family's 1533-position model. The record is from RNAcentral.